UGAGCGCAACCCUCGUCCUAUGUUGCCAGCAUUCAGUUGGGCACUCUAAGGUGACUGCCGGCUAAAGUCGGAGGAAGGUGGGGAUGACGUCAAAUCAUCAUCGCCCCUUAUGACCUGGGCUACACACGUGUUACAAUGGGCGGUACAAAGGGUCGCGAACCCGCGAGGGGGAGCCAAUCCCAAAAAGCCGCUCUCAGUUCGGAUUGCAGGCUGCAACUCGCCUGCAUGAAGCCGGAAUCGCUAGUAAUCGCGGAUCAGCAUGCCGCGGUGAAUACGUUCCCGGGCCUU
This 288-nucleotide ribosomal RNA is filed under the name uncultured Anoxybacillus sp. RNAcentral's name for it is "partial 16S ribosomal RNA". It matches the Rfam family "Bacterial small subunit ribosomal RNA", at positions 1093 to 1382 of the family's 1533-position model. Lineage: Bacteria; Bacillati; Bacillota; Bacilli; Caryophanales; Anoxybacillaceae. The record is from RNAcentral.